AACGUUCGUAACGAUCAGCAUUUUUGUAAGAAUAUGGUUAUUUUCGUUGUUAUUGUAUCUACUUCUACAACCAGCCAUCGACUUUUCACGAAAUCUUGCUGAUUUCUGUAAAGUUGUCAUCAUUGAUAUAUUCAUUGUUAACAUAACUAUAAACGGAAUUAAAGAUAGCAAGGCUAAAUCUAUAAAGGUAUAAUAUUUUUCCUCGAAAAUAAAAUAUUUAUCGGAUGUACUAUUGCAUAAUG
Molecule: long non-coding RNA, 242 nt
Filed under: Mytilus galloprovincialis (Mediterranean mussel)
Lineage: Eukaryota; Metazoa; Mollusca; Bivalvia; Mytilida; Mytilidae
Source: RNAcentral